CCGAGUUUACCAACUCCCAAACCCCGUGUGAACGUACCCACCCCGUUGCUUCGGCGGUGCCGCCCCGGGCGCGGGCCUCCCAGAGGCCGCCAGCCCCGGAACCAGGCGCCCGCCGGAGGACCCCAAACUCCACUGUAUCGCCACGGCGGCUUUCUUCUGAGUCACGCUCUCUGAGCGGCAAACAAAAUGAAUCA
Molecule: unclassified non-coding RNA, 194 nt
Filed under: uncultured Hypocreales
Lineage: Eukaryota; Fungi; Ascomycota; Sordariomycetes; Hypocreales
Description: sequence contains ITS1
Source: RNAcentral